Molecule: unclassified non-coding RNA, 391 nt
Filed under: soil metagenome
Description: partial contains 5.8S ribosomal RNA, internal transcribed spacer 2, and large subunit ribosomal RNA
Rfam family: 5.8S ribosomal RNA (bases 1-122)
Source: RNAcentral
GAUGAAGAACGUAGCGAAAUGCGAUACUUGGUGUGAAUUGCAGAAUCCCGUGAACCAUCGAGUCUUUGAACGCAAGUUGCGCCCGAAGCCAUUAGGCCGAGGGCACGCCUGCCUGGGUGUCACACGUCGUUGCCCCCCCAUCUACUCCUUCGGGAUUGCGGGGGGCGGAUGAUGGCCUCCCAUGCGCCUCGUCGCGCGGUUGGCAUAAAUGCCAAGUCCUCAGCGACGCACGCCACGACAAUCGGUGGUUGCGAAACCUCGGUUGCCCGUCGUGUGCGGUCGUCGCGCAUCGAGGGCUCGAAAAAAUUGCCGGGCUCCGGCUCGGCUUUCAACGCGACCCCAGGUCAGGCGGGGUUACCCGCUGAAUUUAAGCAUAUCAAUAAGCGGAGGA